This 2987-nucleotide ribosomal RNA is filed under the name Phyllobacterium sp. 628. RNAcentral's name for it is "23S ribosomal RNA". It matches the Rfam family "Bacterial large subunit ribosomal RNA". Lineage: Bacteria; Pseudomonadati; Pseudomonadota; Alphaproteobacteria; Hyphomicrobiales; Phyllobacteriaceae. The record is from RNAcentral.
GAAUGAUCAAGUGUCUUAAGGGCAUUUGGUGGAUGCCUUGGCAUGCACAGGCGAUGAAGGACGUGAUACGCUGCGAUAAGCGUCGGGGAGGUGCGAAUACCCUUUGAUCCGACGAUUUCCGAAUGGGGAAACCCACCUUAGAUAUCUAGAAAAUUUGAACUGUUGGACCUUGUGCGAAGCGCAAGCUUGUUUCUUCUUCCUCAUUGGUUUGAGGGGAUGGAACGAAGCGAAGCUUCGCAAGCGCGACUGCGCGCCGGCCACUUUUGGCCGCCUCGCGGAGCACAGCCCGGAACGGGCGUACGUGCGUGAGCGCUUACAACUAGCGAGAACACUUCAACUUUCUAGAUAUCAAUAUAAGGUAUCUAACUUUCGAAUACAUAGGGGUUAGAAGCGAACCCGGGGAACUGAAACAUCUAAGUACCCGGAGGAAAGGACAUCAAACGAGACUCCGCAAGUAGUGGCGAGCGAACGCGGACCAGGCCAGUGGCUUUUGUGAGACAAGUGGAACACCUUGGAAAGGGUGACCGAAGUGGGUGAUAGUCCCGUACACGUAAUGCGAACAAAAGUCCUUGAGUAGGGCGGGACACGUGAAAUCCUGUCUGAACAUGGGGAGACCACUCUCCAAGCCUAAGUACUCGUGCAUGACCGAUAGCGAACCAGUACCGUGAGGGAAAGGUGAAAAGCACCCCGACAAGGGGAGUGAAAGAGAUCCUGAAACCGAAUGCCUACAAACAGUUGGAGCCCAAGAUUUGUUCUGGGUGACAGCGUACCUUUUGUAUAAUGGGUCAGCGACUUAGUCUGACGAGCAAGCUUAAACCGGUAGGUGUAGGCGUAGCGAAAGCGAGUCUGAACAGGGCGUUCAGUUCGUUGGAUUAGACCCGAAACCAAGUGAUCUAGCCAUGAGCAGGUUGAAGGUAAGGUAACACUUACUGGAGGACCGAACCCGCAUCUGUUGCAAUAGAUUGGGAUGACUUGUGGCUAGGGGUGAAAGGCCAAUCAAACUUGGAGAUAGCUGGUUCUCCGCGAAAUCUAUUUAGGUAGAGCGUCGAUCGAAUACCUUCGGGGGUAGAGCACUGGAUGGGCUAGGGGAUCUCACCGAUUUACCAAACCUAACCAAACUCCGAAUACCGAAGAGUACUAAUCGGCAGACACACGGCGGGUGCUAACGUCCGUCGUGAAGAGGGCAACAACCCUGACCACCAUCUAAGGUCCCUAAGUUAUGGCUAAGUGGGAAAGGAUGUGAGGAUCCCAAAACAACCAGGAUGUUGGCUUAGAAGCAGCCAUCAUUUAAAGAAAGCGUAACAGCUCACUGGUCUAAAUAAGGGUCUUUGCGCCGAAAAUGUACCGGGGCUAAAGCCAUACACCGAAGCUGUGGAUUCUUGGAAACCUUCGGGUUCCCGGGAGUGGUAGCGGAGCGUUCUGUAAGCCGUUGAAGAGAGACCCGUGAGGGCUCUUGGAGGUAUCAGAAGUGAGAAUGCUGACAUGAGUAACGAUAAAGGGAGUGAGAGACUCCCUCGCCGAAAGUCCAAGGGUUCCUGCUUAAAGUUAAUCUGAGCAGGGUUAGCCGGCCCCUAAGGCGAGGCCGAAAGGCGUAGUCGAUGGGAACCACGUUAAUAUUCGUGGGCCUGCGGGUAGUGACGGAUCGCGUAUGUUGUUCUUCCUUAUUGGAUUGGAAGGGCUUCGAAGCGGUUCCAGGAAAUAGCUCCCGCGUAUAGACCGUACCCUAAACCGACACUGGUGGACUGGUAGAGAAUACCAAGGCGCUUGAGAGAACUGCGUUGAAGGAACUCGGCAAAUUGCACGCGUAACUUCGGAAGAAGCGUGACCCUUAUGUACGCAAGUAUGUGAGGGUGGCACAGACCAGGGGGUAGCGACUGUUUACCAAAAACACAGGGCUCUGCGAAGUCGCAAGACGACGUAUAGGGUCUGACGCCUGCCCGGUGCUGGAAGGUUAAGAGGAGAGGUGCAAGCUUUGAAUCGAAGCCCCAGUAAACGGCGGCCGUAACUAUAACGGUCCUAAGGUAGCGAAAUUCCUUGUCGGGUAAGUUCCGACCUGCACGAAUGGCGUAACGACUUCCCCGCUGUCUCCAACGCAGACUCAGUGAAAUUGAAUUCCCCGUGAAGAUGCGGGGUUCCUGCGGUUAGACGGAAAGACCCCGUGCACCUUUACUAUAGCUUUACACUGGCAUUCGUGUCGGCAUGUGUAGGAUAGGUGGUAGACUUUGAAGCCGUGGCGCCAGCCAUGGUGGAGUCAUCCUUGAAAUACCACCCUUACCUAUAUGGAUGUCUAACCGCGGUCCGUUAUCCGGAUCCGGGACAGUGUAUGGUGGGUAGUUUGACUGGGGCGGUCGCCUCCUAAAGAGUAACGGAGGCGCGCGAUGGUGGGCUCAGACCGGUCGGAAAUCGGUCGUCGAGUGCAAUGGCAUAAGCCCGCCUGACUGCGAGACUGACAAGUCGAGCAGAGACGAAAGUCGGUCAUAGUGAUCCGGUGGUCCCGCGUGGAAGGGCCAUCGCUCAACGGAUAAAAGGUACGCCGGGGAUAACAGGCUGAUGACCCCCAAGAGUCCAUAUCGACGGGGUUGUUUGGCACCUCGAUGUCGACUCAUCGCAUCCUGGGGCUGGAGCAGGUCCCAAGGGUAUGGCUGUUCGCCAUUUAAAGCGGUACGUGAGUUGGGUUCAGAACGUCGUGAGACAGUUCGGUCCCUAUCUGCCGUGGGUGUAGGAAUAUUGACAGGAUCUGUCCCUAGUACGAGAGGACCGGGAUGGACGUAUCUCUGGUGGACCUGUUGUGGCGCCAGCCGCAUAGCAGGGUAGCUAUAUACGGACGGGAUAACCGCUGAAGGCAUCUAAGCGGGAAACCCACCUGAAAACGAGUAUUCCCUAUCAGAGCCGUGGAAGACCACCACGUUGAUAGGCCGGGUGUGGAAGUGCGGCAACGCAUGAAGCUUACCGGUACUAAUAGCUCGAUUGGCUUGAUCAUUCUCAUU